UUUCGAGGGGCCCCCCAACAACAACACGUGACCCCGCCGCACGUGUCACGUCCGCUGCGUGAUUGGGAGGGGCCGGGCGCUGAGCCUCCUAGACCAAGCUGCGGUUGCCAUGGCAACCGGGAUGGUGGUAUCCACCUAGACAUCAGAAAUGCACUCUGUCCGCUUGCUUUUCUUACUGGCGCAACAGGGGACUACCCCCAGGUCCGAGGACCGAUCCCUUGCAAGAGAAAUGUCUCCGGAGAAAGGAUCCCUUGGACUGAACCUGGCCAAACACACCAGCAAUUUUAGCCUGUCUCUGUGUGACCCUCACUAUUUGUGACACUACCUGUCGCUGACUUCACUGACCUCAUCUAUAAAAUGUGCUGACACUGCCUGUGGAAUGCAGAUGGUGCAGGCUGAUCCUAGGAGGACCCAGCCUUGCACAGAUACAUGAGUGGAAAUUCUAGGAGCUGAAGAGAUCUUAUGCAUGAAGUCCAUGUGCAUUUGUGCAGUGUGUGUCCAGGAAGAUGUGGGGGAAUGCUAUGAACAACACAUAUGAAUAUAUUGAUGUUUUCCUAGAGAGAGGAAAAAAUCUUUAGCAGCCAGAAUCCUCUUUCUGAAACUUGAAUCAGACUGUAUCGCUUCCUGGAGCUUAAAGCCCUUCCUGAGACUCCCAGUGGCUCUUCUUCAUCUCAGCACAACGUCCACAACCAACAACAUGGUCCUUCGAGUUCUUUACAACCUGCUGACUUUCCCAACCUCAUCUCUUGCCUGUCUCUUGUUACUCUACGGCUGCUCCAUUCAAUCUGCUAGCCACUAGCUAUAUGUGGCUAUUUCAUUUUGUUUUUCAUUAAAAUCAGGGAGUUGGAGGUAUA
This is a long non-coding RNA of Peromyscus maniculatus bairdii (prairie deer mouse), 854 nucleotides long. RefSeq lists it as uncharacterized. Lineage: Eukaryota; Metazoa; Chordata; Mammalia; Rodentia; Cricetidae. The record is from RefSeq and is a predicted model, not a curated record.